GACGAACGCUGGCGGCGCGCCUAACACAUGCAAGUCGAACGAGCGAGAGGGAGCUUGCUUUCUCGAGCGAGUGGCGAACGGGUGAGUAACGCGUGAGGAACCUGCCUCAAAGAGGGGGACAACAGUUGGAAACGACUGCUAAUACCGCAUAAGCCCACGGUGCCGCAUGGCACAGAGGGAAAAGGAGCAAUCCGCUUUGAGAUGGCCUCGCGUCCGAUUAGCUAGUUGGUGAGGUAAUGGCCCACCAAGGCGACGAUCGGUAGCCGGACUGAGAGGUUGAACGGCCACAUUGGGACUGAGACACGGCCCAGACUCCUACGGGAGGCAGCAGUGGGGAUAUUGCACAAUGGGGGAAACCCUGAUGCAGCGACGCCGCGUGGAGGAAGAAGGUCUUCGGAUUGUAAACUCCUGUUGUUGGGGAAGAUAAUGACGGUACCCAACAAGGAAGUGACGGCUAACUACGUG
Molecule: ribosomal RNA, 465 nt
Filed under: uncultured bacterium
Lineage: Bacteria
Description: partial 16S ribosomal RNA
Rfam family: Bacterial small subunit ribosomal RNA
Source: RNAcentral